UCUCUCUCUCUCCCCCCCGCUCCCCCUUUCCUCACUUAGACACAAAUAACUUAAAAUAUCCACAAUAAACACACAUUCCUGGUAAUAAAAGUGCUCAUUGUUAAAAGCUGAGUCACGUUAAACCACCAAGAGGUUUCGGGGCAAAGGAGGAACUUCUAUUACUUAUUUAUUACAGUUGUUAGUGGGUCAACUUUAUUAUUAUUUAUUCACUUAUGAUCCGAUGUCCUGCGGCUGAUAUUUAUUCACUAGUGUUUUUGUGUGUUUUAUUGGUGCAUGAAGAAUUAUGGAGCAAAAACAUAACAUAGCAUAACACAUAUAUAUAUAUAUAUAUAUAUAUAUAUAUAUAUAUAUGCAUGUAUAAAAAUUGAAAUUAGAUCGACUGUUUUGUUUGUCAUCAGGCUUUUAUAAUAAUCCUGAUAUAUAACAGGAAGCAUCCAGUAAUAUUUACGACCCACAUGUGUAUCAACAUGCAUGAACACUGCGUAACGUUUCCAUCUGCUGUGUUUCCUCGUUGUAUAAACGCCUCUCUCUCUCUCGUCCUGUUAUUAACCGCGUCACUUUGUGUCUCUUGUCUCUUUUUUAAUCAUCUUCUGUAAAUAUGGAGGUGACAUGAGAGAUAAUGACAGAACAUCUACAUGGAAACUGCUCGACAGAGAGUUCAGGUUCCGUUUGUCAUCAUUACUUCCUACUUUUGUGUAAUCAGUUUGUCAGGUGAUCAGAAGAUGAACUCAUUGGUUUCUCACAGGGUUCAUAAUGAUAUGAUAUCAUAUAUAAUGAAUAAAUAAACCACAACAACAUUGCAGUCUUAAAUCUGGAGCGUAAUGAGGAGAAAGUGUUCGAUUGGGACAAAGGAAUCCUUCGUGAGAAUCCUUCAUUUAUAUUUCAGUUGUUCUGGGUUUUGGGAUCAAUGCGGGCUGCUGGGGGAGUUCUUCCCCCCCCCCUCCUCCUCCCCCCCGUCUCCCCCCUGUGCGGCGCUGCUUUAAUGAGCCUCAGAGCUCCGGGCGAGAGAGAACAGACCCGAUGAAUGAAACAAACACGCGACCCCUGAAGCCGAAAAACCUCAGAACCUCAAAACGAUGACGCGUUAAAUUCCUUUGAGAAGAAGAUGCUCUCCGUCCAGAAGAGGCAAAGUCUGCAGAGCACCACAAUUAAUGUGUGUGUGUGUGUGUUUGAGGAGGCAGUGGCCGCCACUGGUGCAGGCGCUGCACCUCCUGCACCAUCAGCACCUCCUGCACCAUCAGCACCACCUGCACCAUCAGCACCAUCAGCAUCUCCUGCACCACCUGCACCAUCAGCAUCUCCUGCACCAUCAGCACCUCCUGCACCAUCAGCACCAUCUGAUGACCAUCUGAAGGGAGUUUGUAUUUUCUCAGCGUGCAUCCGACUCUUUCGGUUCUCUCGGCGCCUCAGAGAUUUUUGGGCUGCAAACGGGAGGAUGUGGAAGUUGGACGAGAGCAGCUGCAGCACGACCCCUUGAUCGCCCGGCCGGCUCCCUCUCUCUCUCUCUGAGGAGGAUGCGUGGCAUCAGGUAACCGUGUUCUUUACUCAUUAGCUGGAAGCACAGGAGGAACCGGUUCCUGUGGUCAUUCAGAGCAGUAAACUCCUCUCAGCAGGUACGAUGGCAGCGGACGAAGUGGAGACACGUGGAGGAAGAACACAGGACCAGGAACAUCUGGAGGAGGAUUCCCAUGUCCCAAAUGUUAAGAUCUUCCAGUCUCGUGGGUCUGCAGACGUCUGCUGACACGGCCGUGUUCUAAAGAAACACCCGACUGGUUCCACAGGGAGACAUGAAGACGUAUCCGCUGCCUCCCACCUGAACUCCUCGUGGAGCUCCCACCAGUAGAACCCUUCCAAACGCCAUGGAGGACAGAGCGAGGCUCUUCAGGCUCCUGUCCUCCUCCCUCGCAGACAUCAUUCAGCCAACCACCUCCAGGGGAUCAACCAACACAUUUCUUCAGGAGCUGGAAAAUCUCCUCAAAACCCAAACUGAAAGCAAGCCCCGAGGGGGGGGGAGACAUCAGAUGAGAGGACGUCCUGUCCUCCACUCCGGAGCGCUCAUACACCCACGCUGGGUUCUGUCCCUCACCCGUCUCUGAGGGACCCGGUCAGGUUGUGUUGAGGGAGUUUACUGAAGAUAAACCCGUUUUCCCUCCGGGUCGAACACCUGAUGACGGAGGCGAUUGCAGCACCGACCUGAGCCGGGACGCCAGCACAGCGCCCCCCAGUGUGCAGGAGCAGAACCGCGGUGGAGGGCCGACACCCGGUUCGUCUCUCACGUCCUCCUCCUGGAUUCAAGGGCUGGAAUCGUUGUCUCAACGCGGCGCUCUCUGUUCUAACCGCCUCCUUAUUUUCAUACACGUACUGGAUAGUAGUAUUAGUACACAGUACUCAGAGGAGCAGUAUGAAGUAUUAUCACAUUGUUCUUCCUCCAUGACUCCCUGGACCCGUGUCAGCUCUGGAUGAGGAGCCCCGGGUGGGUGGAUGCUCCCUCUAUUGUGUGUGUGUGUGUGUGUGUGUGUGUGUGUGUGUGUGUGUGUGUGCGCUCGGCUGGGCGGAGCAGGAAGCUGGUUCGUAUUUAUAUCUGCAGCAGGACCUCGCUGUGACUCAGAGGCCUGCUGUGGUGACACUUCGUCCUCUGUUCCGUGUGCAGGCCGUUUGGAACCUACGUGAAAGUGUGCAGACGAUUUGGUUUUGUGUCAUUUGUUCUGUCUGUAAAUGACAUUUCAUUUCAGUUAUUGUGGAUUCUUGUUUUUGAUCUUGCUUCUGUUUGCAUUUUGACCUCUGCUGCUGUAAUCCUGUGACCUCAAAUGUUAACCCCCCGCCCCCCACAGGUCAGAGCAAUCUGUAACCAGAGGUCAGAGGUCAGAGUCCAGUGUUGGCUGACACGUUAAGGGGCCUUUUGGGAUAUUUAAUUCUACUUAAUAUUACAUCUGUGUCUCUGAUUCUUGCCCCAGGAAAAAAAGGUUCACAGCAGACUUUCCAUCUCUGUUAGUGAAGACUUGUUGAAACGGCACGAAGAAUCUUUUAGCACCUGACUGCAGAUCUGCUGCUUCCACGUUGUCGAGGCUCAUUUCUGAACCCCCCCCCCCAAAAAAAAACAAUUGCCCCGGUGCUUCGGGCGACUGGCCCCAGCCAGACAGAGAGCAGCAGGCAGCGGACUGAGGGAGGGCUGUAACGGAGUGUAACUCACAGGCCGAUGACGUGAGAAGGUUCUCUCCCCCCCCGGGUCGCCCGUCUCAUAACUCCCGCCCUCUCUGAUCCAGAUCCCCGCGGCCUCAUGCAAAGCAGGCCGGGAGGACGCCGCCAUGCUGGGAGCCACAGAGUGAAGACUCUGAGACACAAAAAAGAUCCCGAAAGCCGGGAAGGUUGAUGUCAUCGUUCGCUUUCAUCAGCCUCUGACGCCCAACAGACGAUUCAUCCAGCUCCUUUUUCCUGGUGAAAACAGUCAUAGAAGUGGGCUGAGAUCCAGUACGCAGGGCCCCGUCAAAAUAAAAGCCCCUGUAACAACGCUC
Molecule: non-coding RNA, 3512 nt
Organism: Gasterosteus aculeatus aculeatus (three-spined stickleback)
Lineage: Eukaryota; Metazoa; Chordata; Actinopteri; Perciformes; Gasterosteidae
Source: RefSeq, a predicted model, not a curated record